This 364-nucleotide ribosomal RNA is filed under the name Penaeus monodon (black tiger shrimp). RNAcentral's name for it is "partial 12S ribosomal RNA". The record is from RNAcentral. Lineage: Eukaryota; Metazoa; Arthropoda; Malacostraca; Decapoda; Penaeidae.
GUAAAGUUUUAUCCUAGCUUGUUCUUUCAUUUUUAGGUUAAUGGUACAUGUAAAUUUUAAUGUUACAACAUAUUUUGUUAAAACUAAAGGUUAACAAAUGGUUUAAAAGUAGAGGUUUCUUUAAGAAAUAAAUUCUCAGUACCUAGUGCUAAUCAAUAAAUAUACGUUAGAAUUGGUAAUCCUAAUUAUAUACCUGGUUAAAAUUUGUGCCAGCAGCCGCGGUUAGACUGAGAGGUAAAAUGAAAGAAAUUUGGUUAAAAACAGUUAUAUUUAUUAAUUUUUUUCUUUUAAAGGACUAUAUUAAUAAAGGGUGAAAUCAGUUUUUUAAUAAAUAGUAAAAUAAAAGUCUUAAUUUUAAUUGAAG